CUGAGAGCUGCCCUUCAUGGCAACUGAACCCACAGCAACAAUGAGCUUAAUCACCAUCUUCAUCUGGACACUUAUCUGCUUUCAUGGUUCCAGUGGCCAGAUUACUGUGACUCAGACUCCAGCAGUGACAUCUGUUCUCCCAGCACAGACAGUCACUGUGAGCUGUAAGACCAGCAGUUCUCUGGGUACCUGUUCUUAUACUGGCUUAUGUGGCCACUGUCUUGCUUGGUACCAACAGAAAACUGGAGAAGCUCCUAAACUCCUGAUCUAUUAUGCAACUGCCCGUCAGACUGGGAUCCCAGAGCGUUUCAGUGGCAGUGGAUCUGGGACUGACUUCACUCUGACCAUCACAAGAGUCCAGGCUGAAGAUGCAGGAGAUUAUUACUGUCAGCAGGGCUCCAGCUACCCUCUCACACAGUGAUAGACGUCUGUACAAAAACCUCCCUCAGCUCUACAGGAGCUGCUCUGGUUCAUUAACAGGAACCACAGAGGACUGAGGCUGAGAACAGCUGCAAAGCUGCUACGAUUAUUUACGAUUGAUUAGAGCUGGGUUAGUGCAUUAUUUAUUAAUAUUGUGUUCUAAACACAGAAAUAAUGUCUAGAUAUACAACUUUGUUAACUAAGAAAGCUAUGAAAUUGAAAAUAACAAAUAAAAGUAAUACUAUUAAAUAUUUUAGCUCAUAAAUGCUACCAGAGAAAAUAUUACCAUACAUAUUUAGCAUUUCUUGAACUUUGCAUCCUGUGAUAUUGAUUGUCAAGAUGCAAUCCAACCAACAUUUUUAAGGCAUGGCACAGAAGCUUGUGUGAAAAAAAUUUUUGUAAAUAGCAUGAGAGACUAGACUGGAUGUAUUUGAAUGACGACAAAUCGAUGAAGGACCAGCCUGGAGACCCUGAAACUAUUAUUUUUACUUCCUAUGUUUGUUGUUAAAUAGAAUCACAAACACAGACUGCAGUUAUUAAUACUGACCAGGAGAGGGAGACAGAUCAUGUCAAUACUAACUGGAUUGAUACAGUACUUUGAUAAAUGGCAAUUAAUCUGCCUUCAGUACUCCCAGUUGUCAUCACCACAGAGGUAAUGACAAUUUGGAGUAAUGAAAGCUGAUCAGAUCAAUUUUAAAUUGUUUUAAAUUCUGUAAUGUUUCAAAAGUGCUUAUACAGGACAAUUCUGUAUAUUUGAAAAUAAUUGCUAAUUAUUUUUACACUAACGCUUUGACAGAAUAAAACAUAAAAAAAUGGCA
Non-coding RNA from Lepisosteus oculatus (spotted gar), 1238 nucleotides. NCBI's taxonomy places the organism in Eukaryota, Metazoa, Chordata, Actinopteri, Semionotiformes, Lepisosteidae. The record is from RefSeq and is a predicted model, not a curated record.